RNAcentral lists this long non-coding RNA (274 nucleotides) under Aquilegia coerulea. Its description in RNAcentral is "long non-coding RNA (ACOE_LNC000566)". Lineage: Eukaryota; Viridiplantae; Streptophyta; Magnoliopsida; Ranunculales; Ranunculaceae. The record is from RNAcentral.
UGUUUUUAAAUAAUCAUUUUAUUAUAAUUAGAGAGCUAAGAGUCUGCAAUAUUACAUAACAUUGUGUCCUGAACUAACUGGUUUAUAGGCCAGGAAGGAGGAACCGCAUAGGAGCAAGGAAUUGGCAAGCUUGUAUAUAAGCAUGGUGAGCUAAGAUAUAAGCCGACGAGUUCCUUGAUAUAUUACAAUACAUAAAAACAACAAAUUCAAAUUAAGUAGCAAUAGUUUUACCUUCUUCCAGAAUAUUUAUAGCCUGCCACGGAACAAUUUUGAU